AACGCACAUUGCGCCCGCUAGUAUUCUAGCGGGCAUGCCUGUUCGAGCGUCAUUUCAACCCUCAAGCCCCCGCGGCUUGGUGUUGGGGAUCGGCCGCAAGCCCUCACGGGCAGGGCGGCCGGCCCCGAAAUCUAGUGGCGGUCUCGCUGUAGUCCCCCUCUGCGUAGUAACACACCUCGCACUGGAAGCUCGGCCUGACCACGCCGUAAAACCCCCCACUUCUGAAGGUUGACCUCGGAUCAGGUAGGAAUACCCGCUGAACUUAA
This 266-nucleotide unclassified non-coding RNA is filed under the name uncultured fungus. RNAcentral's name for it is "sequence contains ITS2". The stretch from base 1 to 52 matches the Rfam family "5.8S ribosomal RNA", at positions 103 to 154 of the family's 154-position model. Lineage: Eukaryota; Fungi. The record is from RNAcentral.